Acanthochromis polyacanthus (spiny chromis) is the source of this 2245-nucleotide long non-coding RNA. RefSeq lists it as uncharacterized. Lineage: Eukaryota; Metazoa; Chordata; Actinopteri; Pomacentridae. The transcript has 6 exons. The record is from RefSeq and is a predicted model, not a curated record.
GAAGAAUGGAGGAAGGACCUGCAGCAAAGGGUCAUGGGCUGGAUUCAAAUCCAUGGCAGCCUGUUGAGCUACCGGGGCGCCUGAAUUUCUUGCUUUUGACAAAAUCUGAUUUGAGCACACGGUGCGCCCAUCCUCACCUACAGCCACCACCGUCAGCUCCACCUCCUUCUCCACGGUGACGUGCUCAUUGGCCAGCGACAGGAAGAGCGUCCGGUGGAAGGUGCAGCGAUUUCACAGAAGAGCCCUCAGACCCUUGGAUGAACCCACAUGAAUGAAGUCUUCUUCGCCCAGCGGUCUGAAGUGCCAGUCGACGGUGGCUCGGCCUGAAACCUCCUCUCUCUUCUUACAGGAGAUGCAGCCCAGCAGGAAUCCUUCUCCGGCCACAGCUUCAGUCAGAGAGUCCACCUCUGCACAGCCGCCAUCACACUGACACACUGAGGGAGAAGAGAGGACCGAUAAACAACUAGAAGAUAAAAAAUAUAUAUGUCAGAGGCCAUGGUCCAGCCCAAGGCCAGGAGAGUUUCUCUGAAGGACGCCUAAACGGAGAUGAAGUGUUUUGACUGUUAGUGAAGGGUCGACUCAGGUGUAAUGUGUACAGGUGUCUGGUCCCUGGUUAAACUUUAUACAAACAACCAAACAGCAUCAGGGUUUCAGCAACAUAUCUCUCAUGUUCACAACAUGAGAUGGAGGUUGAUAAAAGUUGACCUCCCUUCAUUUCUCUGGAGCCAACUCCAUGGAUUUUAGAGAUGCUGGUUAAAGACCUGCUCUUCUAGUUGUCUUCCUUCUCGUCGCUCUUAAAAGUCACUCCAUCCUCGCAGACUUCAACACCUCUUUAUGACAAGUUCUUCUGCCUCCAACCUGGUGGAAACUCCGGAAACUCCGGAAACCCGUCGAGACUCGGAUUUUCAAAAACUCGUCGGGCGGGGGAAGGUGUGGUGGGUGGUGGGGGAGUAGAGGGGGGAGGCCGCCACCCACCUCCCCUCCCACUCUCCACCCUGACUCCACCCAUGUGGUCACUUGGAAACUACCAUGUCAAAGGGACGACGAAAUUAUGCUUUUUUUUUUUUUAAUCUGAUCUGUAGCUCAGUGAUUUAAGGGUUUGUCUAUGGAGCUGUAGGUUGCUGGUUCAAGACCUGAUCCUUCUUAAAUUUUUUGAAAAACUUAGACAAAGAAAGAAAAAUACCAUUGGUGGGUCUUGAACCUCCUACCUUCCACUUGGUAGUCUCUCUUCUUACCCCCUGAUCUACUCACUCAGAUAUUGAUUUUUCUUUUUUUUGCGGAUUUUUUAUCUAUUUUUUGUCGUUUGAGUUUUUUUAAUAUUCGAGUCUCGUGUCGUCCGUUUUUCUCAGGAGGUUGCACUUCAACCUUUGUGUUGGAGGGUUGAACCCUCAGUUCCAAGACUUUCCAAAGCCUCCAGACCUCAGGACCUGAGCUUUCACACAGUCUGAGGGCUGAAAUUUUCUAAGUCCCACAGUAGAUCUCUGUUAGAUUUAACUUUCAGACAGUCCAAGGACUGAAAUCUUCUACGAGUACUUGCCUGUUAGUUUGAACCUUUUGACAGUCUGAGGACUGAAGUUUAAAAACUUUCUCAGCACUCCUCUGUUAGUUUGAACUUUAUGGUUAACAGAAGCCUUAAAACUUGUGACUUGAUUCUUGAUUUCACAUUUAGACCAUCCAUCUGAGUUCUUCUCAGACCUCACCUGUGGGUUCUUUAGAAAUCCUGAACAAACUUUGAUUCUCUUCAUUGAACAGCAAAGUUUAUGGAGAUCAGAAGGUAACAUUAGUUUGAUCGAUGCAUUCAACUACUAGUAGACUUUAUCUGGAAAGCAGUUUUUCUGAAAUGAGCUCUUAGUAAAUCUGUCCACAAUCAAACCAAGCCUAUAGAAAGAGGAAAUGUUUGAAGAAACAAUUUGAUGUUUUCAUUUCAGACUCGAAAACACUUUAAGACCUUUAUCCGUUUUUACUCUUUUUGAUCAUUUUGUCUCUUCUGUUUAAUUUGAUCUUCUAAAGUGUAACUGGUGCCUUUUCAAAUGUUUUGUCUUCAGUUUGAUUCUUCUUAAAUGUUUACUUUUGCUCAUUUCUCACCUUUUAUUCUUUUCUAAUGUCUGAUUUGAUUUUGAAACAUUUUGUCUUUUUAAUGUUUAAUUGUUUUUUCAAAUGUUUUAUCGGCUUGUUUGAUAAAUUUCCUUUUCUUUCCCAAUGUUUAAUUUUUCAAUUAAAUCUUUAACAGUUUUCUUUUUAAAUG